Molecule: long non-coding RNA, 751 nt
Organism: Homo sapiens (human)
Lineage: Eukaryota; Metazoa; Chordata; Mammalia; Primates; Hominidae
Gene: SLED1
Product: proteoglycan 3, pro eosinophil major basic protein 2 pseudogene
Source: Ensembl
CCCUCAUCCUCUAUCCCUGAACCAGGUCAGACAUAGAUGGAAUCAGAGCAGGAGUUGGUGUUGAUGUGGUUUCAGGUCCACCUAUCAGAGUUUGAGAGAUUUAGGCCAUGAACCAUUAUGAAUAUAGAUGAGAACCUUUGUAAUUGCUGAAGGAGGUAGUAGUGCAGGCAAGUCCUGUGUGCAAGACCUGCUGCUCCCAGUUAGUACGGACCCCUGUGACAUUCACAGAAGUUCAGAAUGUCUGAGAUGCUCUGCAGGCUACCUUAUCUCCGUCUGCAGCUACACCUCCAGUGAUCACAAUCAGUGCUACGCUGGCACAGCCAGCCUGGCCCUGCUCUGGAUUGGAGGCAUCCUCAAGGGCUGCUUGCUGUGGAAGCAGUUUCGCUGGACCGAGAGGAGCCACUGGAAUUUUGGGUACUGGGCCUUAGGGUCACCCGGGAAUGGGAAUGGCUGCUGUGUGGCCCUGUUUGCCAGAGGGGGCCAUUGGUGAUGAGCCCCAUGCAAGUGGCAUCUGCCCUUCACCUGCUCCUUCUAAGCCAGCGGGAUGGAGACCCUCCAGAGAGAAUAUGUGAGUUCCUCUCCUUAUGAGAGCCGUGGUAUGGGCAUUGAGAUGACUGACUUGUCAAAUUAGUUCGGAAAGAUUUUUGACAACUACUACAAGAUCAUAAUGUACUUGAACAAAAACCUGUGAUAUGUGUUAUUUGUUUGUUUUUAGAUAUUGGAGAAGGGAAUAAAUUUUAGCAAGUAAAAA